CUCUCUCUCUUUCUCUGGUUCCCUUUUUUGCUUGUUGUUUUUUCCCUAAAGCCCCAACAGACCAAAUCAGUUUUAACAUUUUGGGUGAAUUCAAUAGCAGGUUUUUAAAAAGGUUAAAAGAAAAAGGUAACCCCCCUCUCUCUGUUUCUCUGUCACUCUCUCUCUCUCUCUCUCUCUCUCUCUCUCUCUCUAAAUCACAACGUUAUGUUAUUCCAUUAUGUUAUUUGUGAGUGUUGUCUAUGAAAGUCCAGGACCUGUGCCGUGUGCUCUGGCGGAGAGAUUCCAGCUCCUUCUCCCUAUCCUGGAGUCCUCAUGAAGAUCAUGUGAUCAUGAAGGCCAGGUUUCAGACAGGACGACUCUGAUACAAAUCCUGAGACAAAAUCACAGAGGUGUUGAUUUCUUUAGGGACACGUUUGUCCGGGAGUGCACGGCAUUGUAAUUCCUAACCCCCCCCCACCCCCUGAUGCUCUCGUGUUCGCCAAAAUGUUAAAGGCCAGAUGCUUAACAAGCAUCUUCUACUCAGUAGAGGCUAAAGAACAAAUAAUUAUGCAGCUACACCCCCGAAUCAGGCCCUUCCUCCCCCGCAUUUAGUUAAUUCAUGCGCAUUUCAUACGACACCUACUAUUAAAAGCACUGAAGCCACAGAGAGACCCACCUGGACCCAGACCGACCCCUGGAUCAAAGACAUGCUAAUGAGAGCGACACAGGCCUCGGAAUGGAGACGUGUCUCCUAGAGCAGGACAUGGGGAAGGUGUCCAAGGAAGAGCGCUGGAAGGGUGGAGCCCGGGAGCAGGAGCCAGAGGGCCAGACCUGGAGACUAUAGAACUCUGGAACCAAAGACAUCUAGAACCACAGCAUUCUAGAAUCACUCUAGAAGCAUGGAACUCUAGAACUGCAUUCUAGAUAGCUGUUCUAGAAUGUCUGCCUAGGUAGAUGGGUUAUCAGUCUGUUAAGAUGCAAGAUACGUGUACAACAACCUCUAUGAUUUAGACCCAUUCCUUUAUGAAUUAAACACUGCAGCUGGCAUUAUAAGACUGCCACUGUGAAACAUUGCUUCAGUGUUUGUGAGGAGUUGUAUUAUGUCCCUGUACAAUAUAACCACCAUAAUGGUUCAUCAGUAGAACAGUAGCAAAAAAACUCAAUUAUAGUCUUUGCACAUAUUAAAAGUUAGAGUUACUGCAAAAGAAGAUGAACUUGAUAAUAUACUACAAGGAGCACUUCUGGGAUUGCCAGCUGAUGCAAAGCGAUAACCUGGAGCCGUAAGCGUUAUGUAAAGGAUAAGAUCAGCAUCUCCCAUUCCUGGUUAUCCAAACAAUGCUUUAUUUAGUCCACUGUGUCGGACUCACCUCCCUAAAAAGAUUCCAA
Long non-coding RNA from Electrophorus electricus (electric eel), 1365 nucleotides. RefSeq lists it as uncharacterized. Lineage: Eukaryota; Metazoa; Chordata; Actinopteri; Gymnotiformes; Gymnotidae. The record is from RefSeq and is a predicted model, not a curated record.